This 292-nucleotide ribosomal RNA is filed under the name uncultured bacterium. Its description in RNAcentral is "partial 16S ribosomal RNA". It matches the Rfam family "Bacterial small subunit ribosomal RNA", at positions 505 to 796 of the family's 1533-position model. The record is from RNAcentral.
GUGUCAGCCGCCGCGGUAAUACAGAGACUGCAAGCGUUGUUCGGAUUCAUUGGGCGUAAAGGGUGCGCAGGCGGUCUGCUAAGUCGGAUGUGAAAUCUCACAGCCUAACUGUGAUGGGUCAUUCGAAACUGGCAGGCUAGAGGACUGGAGAGGAGACUGGAAUAGUCGGUGUAGCGGUGAAAUGCGUAGAGAUCGACUAGAACACCGGUGGCGAAGGCGGGUCUCUGGACAGUUCCUGACGCUCAGGCACGAAAGCCAGGGGAGCAAACGGGAUUAGAUACCCCAGUAGUCC